AGAGUUUGAUCCUGGCUCAGAAUGAACGCUGGCGGCAUGCCUAACACAUGCAAGUCGAAUGAAGGCUUCGGCCUUAGUGGCGCACGGGUGCGUAACGCGUGGGAAUCUGCCCCUUGGUUCGGAAUAACAGCGAGAAAUUGCUGCUAAUACCGGAUGAUGACGAGAGUCCAAAGAUUUAUCGCCGAGGGAUGAGCCCGCGUAGGAUUAGCUAGUUGGUGAGGUAAAGGCUCACCAAGGCGACGAUCCUUAGCUGGUCUGAGAGGAUGAUCAGCCACACUGGGACUGAGACACGGCCCAGACUCCUACGGGAGGCAGCAGUGGGGAAUAUUGGACAAUGGGCGCAAGCCUGAUCCAGCAAUGCCGCGUGAGUGAUGAAGGCCUUAGGGUUGUAAAGCUCUUUUACCCGGGAUGAUAAUGACAGUACCGGGAGAAUAAGCUCC
This 440-nucleotide ribosomal RNA is filed under the name uncultured bacterium. Its description in RNAcentral is "bacterial SSU rRNA". It matches the Rfam family "Bacterial small subunit ribosomal RNA", at positions 8 to 494 of the family's 1533-position model. The record is from RNAcentral.